RNAcentral lists this non-coding RNA (834 nucleotides) under Hemisodorcus macleayii. The record is from RNAcentral. Lineage: Eukaryota; Metazoa; Arthropoda; Insecta; Coleoptera; Lucanidae.
AAAAAUAAUUAUUUAAUUUGAAAUUGUUUUGGUUGAUUGGCUUACGUGUAAAUAUGAAUUCUGUGUUAAAAUUUGAUACCCUUAAAAUAAAGUUUUAUUGUGGCUUUAAGCUCGGUUGGUAAUAACUUUACAUGUAAUUUUUAGUUUAGAAAUUUAGUUUAGGCAGUAAAUAGAUUUAAUGAUUAAGGAAUCUUAGAAUUAGGUAUUUAUAUUAGUAUAGACAAAUCUUGUGCCAGCAGUUGCGGUUAGACAUGAUAUACUUCUGAGUUUAGUUUGGGUGAUAAUUAUCUUUUUUAUUUAAAGUGAGGACUGAUUAUAUAAGGUGAAAUUUUAUAAUUAGUUUAGUUUAUUUUUUAUUGAAAUAUUAUUAGAUUUUAAAAAUAAACUAGGAUUAGAUACCCUAUUAUUAUAAAUGUAAAAUUUAACUCCUGAGAAGUAUUAGGUGUUCUUGAAAUUUAAAAAAUUUGGCGGUGUUUUAGUCUAUUCAGAGGAACCUGUCCUGUAAUUGAUAAUCCACGAUUAAUUUGACUUGUUCUUUAAGUUUGUAUAUCGUCGUUAUUUGAAUAUCUUUUUAAGGAUAAAUAUUCGAUUUUUAAAAUUUUAAUUGAAAUCAGAUCAAGGUGCAGUUGACGUUCAAGUAGAGAUGGGUUACAAUAAAUAAAUUUUUAUGGUUUGGGAGGUGAAAUUCUUACAAUAAAUUGGAUUUGAUAGUAAAAUGAAUAAUUUAAUUGAUUUGAUCUAAGCUCUAAAAUAUGCACAUAUCGCCCGUCGCUCCUACUAUAAGGUAGGAUAAGUCGUAACAUAGUAGGUGUACCGGAAGGUGUACCUGGAAAG